AUACGUAGGUGACAAGCGUUAUCCGGAUUUACUGGGUGUAAAGGGCGUGUAGGCGGUUUAGCAAGUCAGAAGUGAAAUUCCCGGGCUUAACCUGGGCGCUGCUUCUGAAACUGCUUUACUUGAGUGCUGGAGAGGAUAGUGGAAUUCCUAGUGUAGCGGUAAAAUGCGCAGAUAUUAGGAGGAACACCGGUGGCGAAGGCGGCUAUCUGGACAGUAACUGACGCUGAGGCGCGAAAGCACGGGGAGCAAACAGGAUUAGAUACCCUGGUAGUCCGUGCCGUAAACGAUGAAUACUAGGUGUAGGGGGUAUCGACUCCCUCUGUGCCGCAGUUAACACAUUAAGUAUUCCACCUGGGGAGUACGGCCGCAAGGUUGAAACUCAAAUGAAUUGACGGGG
This 397-nucleotide ribosomal RNA is filed under the name uncultured bacterium. Its description in RNAcentral is "partial 16S ribosomal RNA". It matches the Rfam family "Bacterial small subunit ribosomal RNA", at positions 523 to 918 of the family's 1533-position model. The record is from RNAcentral.